UACCCCCGCUGUGAAACUAAGCAUAUCAAUAAGCUGGAGUGAAAAGAAACCAACAGGGAUUGCCUUAGUAACGGCGAGUGAAGCGGCAACAGCUCAAAUUUGAAAGCUGGCCCUUUCGGGGUCCGCGUUGUAAUUUGUAGAGGAUGAUUCGGCGAGGGCUCCCGCCUAAGUCCCCUGGAACGGGGCGUCAUAGAGGGUGAGAAUCCCGUAUGUGGUGGGCUGCCUUAGCCAUGUGAAUCUCCUUCGACGAGUCGAGUUGUUUGGGAAUGCAGCUCUAAAUGGGAGGUAAAUUUCUUCUAAAGCUAAAUACCGGCCAGAGACCGAUAGCGCACAAGUAGAGUGAUCGAAAGAUGAAAAGCACUUUGGAAAGAGAGUUAAAAAGUACGUGAAAUUGUUGAAAGGGAAGCGCUUGCAACCAGACUUGUCCGCAGUUGCUCAGCCGGUCUCCUGACCGGCGUACUCUUCUGCGGCCAGGCCAGCAUCAGUUCGGGCGGUCGGAUAAAGACCUCGGGAAUGUGGCUCCUCUCGGGGAGUGUUAUAGCCCGGGGUGGAAUGCGGCCAGCCUGGACUGAGGAUCUCGCUUCGGCAAGGAUGCUGGCGUAAUGGUUGUAAGCGGCCCGUCUUGAAACACGGACCAAGGAGUCUAACACCUAUGCGAGUGUUUGGGUGUCAAACCCAUACGCGUAAUGAAAGUGAACGGAGGUGGGAACCCGCAAGGGCGCACCAUCGGCCGAUCCUGAUGUCUUCGGAUGGAUUUGAGCAAGAGCAUAGUUGUUGGGACCCGAAAGAUGGUGAACUAUGCCUGAAUAGGGUGAAGUCAGAGGAAACUCUGAUGGAGGCUCGCAGCGGUUCUGACGUGCAAAUCGAUCGUCAAAUUUGGGUAUAGGGGCGAAAGACUAAUCGAACCAUCUUAAUAGACUGGUUCCUGCCGAGUUCUCCCUCCCAAGGA
This 949-nucleotide ribosomal RNA is filed under the name Lasiodiplodia sp. RNAcentral's name for it is "partial large subunit ribosomal RNA". It matches the Rfam family "Eukaryotic large subunit ribosomal RNA", at positions 24 to 978 of the family's 3401-position model. Lineage: Eukaryota; Fungi; Ascomycota; Dothideomycetes; Botryosphaeriales; Botryosphaeriaceae. The record is from RNAcentral.